Molecule: RNase P RNA, 182 nt
Filed under: Hyphomonadaceae bacterium
Lineage: Bacteria; Pseudomonadati; Pseudomonadota; Alphaproteobacteria; Hyphomonadales; Hyphomonadaceae
Description: partial RNase P RNA component class A
Rfam family: Bacterial RNase P class A
About the family: Ribonuclease P (RNase P) is a ubiquitous endoribonuclease, found in archaea, bacteria and eukarya as well as chloroplasts and mitochondria.
Source: RNAcentral
AGGCGGCACGGCAAGCCCCGCCGGGAGCAAGACCGAAUAGGGACACACGAAGCGCAAGCUUCACGCGCGUCCGCGCGUCGUGUCCGGGUUGGUCGCGAGAACCAUGCGGCGACGUAUGGUCCAGAGGAAUGGUCGUCACCUCGCAAGAGGAACAGAACCCGGCUUAUAGGCCGACUGGCAUU